This 55-nucleotide transfer RNA is filed under the name Syntrophobacterales bacterium CG23_combo_of_CG06-09_8_20_14_all_48_27. Its description in RNAcentral is "tRNA-Pro". The record is from RNAcentral. Lineage: Bacteria; Pseudomonadati; Thermodesulfobacteriota; Syntrophobacteria; Syntrophobacterales.
CGGGGCGUGGCGCAGCCUGGUAGCGUAUCUGAAUGGGGUUCAGAGGGUCGGAGGU